This 274-nucleotide ribosomal RNA is filed under the name uncultured bacterium. Its description in RNAcentral is "partial 16S ribosomal RNA". It matches the Rfam family "Bacterial small subunit ribosomal RNA", at positions 523 to 796 of the family's 1533-position model. The record is from RNAcentral.
AUACGGAGGGUGCAAGCGUUACUCGGAAUCACUGGGCGUAAAGCGCGCGUAGGCGGCUUAUUAAGUCAGAUGUGAAGUCCCCGGGCUCAACCUGGGAACUGCAUCUGAUACUGGUAAGCUAGAGUUUGGGAGAGGGAAGUAGAAUUUCAGGUGUAGCGGUGAAAUGCAUAGAGAUCUGAAGGAAUACCAGUGGCGAAGGCGACUUCCUGGCCUAAAACUGACGCUGAGGUGCGAAAGCGUGGGUAGCAAACGGGAUUAGAAACCCCAGUAGUCC